RNAcentral lists this ribosomal RNA (978 nucleotides) under Xanthomonas campestris pv. raphani. RNAcentral's name for it is "bacterial SSU rRNA". It matches the Rfam family "Bacterial small subunit ribosomal RNA", at positions 92 to 1065 of the family's 1533-position model. The record is from RNAcentral. Lineage: Bacteria; Pseudomonadati; Pseudomonadota; Gammaproteobacteria; Lysobacterales; Lysobacteraceae.
CGAGUGGCGGACGGGUGAGGAAUACAUCGGAAUCUACUCUUUCGUGGGGGAUAACGUAGGGAAACUUACGCUAAUACCGCAUACGACCUACGGGUGAAAGCGGAGGACCUUCGGGCUUCGCGCGAUUGAAUGAGCCGAUGUCGGAUUAGCUAGUUGGCGGGGUAAAGGCCCACCAAGGCGACGAUCCGUAGCUGGUCUGAGAGGAUGAUCAGCCACACUGGAACUGAGACACGGUCCAGACUCCUACGGGAGGCAGCAGUGGGGAAUAUUGGACAAUGGGCGCAAGCCUGAUCCAGCCAUGCCGCGUGGGUGAAGAAGGCCUUCGGGUUGUAAAGCCCUUUUGUUGGGAAAGAAAAGCAGUCGGUUAAUACCCGAUUGUUCUGACGGUACCCAAAGAAUAAGCACCGGCUAACUUCGUGCCAGCAGCCGCGGUAAUACGAAGGGUGCAAGCGUUACUCGGAAUUACUGGGCGUAAAGCGUGCGUAGGUGGUGGUUUAAGUCUGUUGUGAAAGCCCUGGGCUCAACCUGGGAAUUGCAGUGGAUACUGGGUCACUAGAGUGUGGUAGAGGGUAGCGGAAUUCCCGGUGUAGCAGUGAAAUGCGUAGAGAUCGGGAGGAACAUCCGUGGCGAAGGCGGCUACCUGGACCAACACUGACACUGAGGCACGAAAGCGUGGGGAGCAAACAGGAUUAGAUACCCUGGUAGUCCACGCCCUAAACGAUGCGAACUGGAUGUUGGGUGCAAUUUGGCACGCAGUAUCGAAGCUAACGCGUUAAGUUCGCCGCCUGGGGAGUACGGUCGCAAGACUGAAACUCAAAGGAAUUGACGGGGGCCCGCACAAGCGGUGGAGUAUGUGGUUUAAUUCGAUGCAACGCGAAGAACCUUACCUGGUCUUGACAUCCACGGAACUUUCCAGAGAUGGAUUGGUGCCUUCGGGAACCGUGAGACAGGUGCUGCAUGGCUGUCGUCAGCUCGUGU